GAAACCCUCUGAAAGAAUGCGACUGUGUCUGGGAAGGAGACUGAGGUGGCCGACAGCAGCUGGGAAAACAAGUCUGCUUCUAGGAGCACGAAGAAGACGGGUCCUUGACUCGGGAACAGAAGCCACGAGACACCAAGACGAGAAGAAUCAGAGAAACUGUUGGUCCCUGCAGGGACUGGAAGGUUAGAAGGAAGGAGGUGUUGGAUGGCGUGCUGGGAAGAAGAGCCUGAAGGUCCAGCAGUGGUUCAGUUGUUCAGAAGAGCCUGAAGGUCCAGCAGUGGUUCAGAUGUUCAGAAGAAGAGCCUGAAGGUCCAGCAGUGGUUCAGUUGUUCAGAAGAAGAGCCUGAAGGUCCAGCAGUGGUUCAGUUGUUCAGAAGAAGAGCCUGAAGGUCCAGCAGUGGUUCAGAUGUUCAGAAGAAGAGCCUGAAGGUCCAGCAGUGGUUCAGUUGUUCAGAAGAAGAGCCUGAAGGUCCAGCAGUGGUUCAGAUGUUCAGAAGAAGAGC
Molecule: long non-coding RNA, 503 nt
Organism: Amphiprion ocellaris (clown anemonefish)
Lineage: Eukaryota; Metazoa; Chordata; Actinopteri; Pomacentridae
Source: Ensembl